UACGUAGGGUGCAAGCGUUAAUCGGAAUUACUGGGCGUAAAGCGUGCGCAGGCGGUUGUGCAAGACAGAUGUGAAAUCCUCGGGCUUAACCUGGGAACUGCAUUUGUGACUGCACGGCUAGAGUGUGUCAGAGGGGGGUAGAAUUCCACGUGUAGCAGUGAAAUGCGUAGAUAUGUGGAGGAAUACCGAUGGCGAAGGCAGCCCCCUGGGAUAACACUGACGCUCAUGCACGAAAGCGUGGGGAGCAAACAGG
RNAcentral lists this ribosomal RNA (253 nucleotides) under uncultured bacterium. RNAcentral describes it as "partial 16S ribosomal RNA". It matches the Rfam family "Bacterial small subunit ribosomal RNA", at positions 524 to 776 of the family's 1533-position model. The record is from RNAcentral.